Molecule: small RNA, 533 nt
Filed under: Pongo abelii (Sumatran orangutan)
Lineage: Eukaryota; Metazoa; Chordata; Mammalia; Primates; Hominidae
Description: retained intron
Source: RNAcentral
GAAGAUGCUUCAGACAGAUCCCACUGCCCGCCCAACCAUUAACGAGCUGCUUAACGACGAGUUCUUUACUUCUGGCUAUAUCCCUGCCCGUCUCCCCAUCACCUGCCUGACCAUUCCACCGAGGUUUUCGAUUGCUCCCAGCAGCCUGGACCCCAGCAACCGGAAGCCCCUCACAGUCCUCAAUAAAGGCUUGGAGAACACCCUGCCUGAGCGUCCCCGGGAAAAAGAAGAACCAGUGGUUCGAGAGACAGGUGAGGUGGUCGACUGCCACCUCAGUGACAUGCUGCAGCAGCUGCACAGUGUCAAUGCCUCCAAGCCCUCGGAGCGUGGGCUGGUCAGGCAAGGUGGGUACUGCGGGGCCGUGGGCGGGGCAGGAUUGCUUGGGGCAUCUGGAAAAGGCAGGAGGAGCCUUGGCCAACAAAGCACUGGUGACUUGUCCAGGCCCUGUCUCCAUGGGACCAUUGGUUUCCCCAUUUCCUGAUAUCCAAGGCCCUGCUUGCUGUGGCUCCUGCCUUCUUUUCUUCUUUUACUCU